GAGUAAUGCGUGACCAACCUGCCCCAUGCUCCAGAAUAGCUCUUGGAAACGGGUGGUAAUGCUGGAUGCUCCAACUUGACGCAUGUCUUGUUGGGAAAGUGUUUAGUGGCAUGGGAUGGGGUCGCGCCCUAUCAGCUUGUAGGCGGGGUAAUGGCCCACCUAGGCUUCGACGGGUAGCCGGCCUGAGAGGGCGGACGGCCACAUUGGGACUGAGAUACGGCCCAGACUCCUACGGGAGGCAGCAGCG
RNAcentral lists this ribosomal RNA (247 nucleotides) under uncultured Gardnerella sp. RNAcentral describes it as "partial 16S ribosomal RNA". It matches the Rfam family "Bacterial small subunit ribosomal RNA", at positions 108 to 356 of the family's 1533-position model. Lineage: Bacteria; Bacillati; Actinomycetota; Actinomycetes; Bifidobacteriales; Bifidobacteriaceae. The record is from RNAcentral.